This 892-nucleotide long non-coding RNA is filed under the name Mytilus galloprovincialis (Mediterranean mussel). The record is from RNAcentral. Lineage: Eukaryota; Metazoa; Mollusca; Bivalvia; Mytilida; Mytilidae.
UUCUUUUAUUAAAUGCAUUGUUCAAAAAUUUAGCAGUUUUUCUAGGAUAUUUGCAGAUAAGAAGUUUAAAUUGUUCAUCUUUAGAAAGGUCUUCAAAAGAGUGUUCUAUAUCCAAUAUAAGUUGAUUUCUUAAAUCUCGGUAAAAGACACAGUCCAUCAGGAAGUGGCGUUCAUUUUCAACAUCACGUGAGUCACACAUUUUGCAAAUGCGGUCAGCUUCUGCUUCUCCGACGAACCGUCCUGUUUCGAUCCUCAAAGGAAGUAUGCCGCAUCUAAAUUGUGCCAGUAUAGAACGUUCAGAACGAGAGAGGUUCAGUCCAACAUAUGUUUCACAUUUAUAUUCUGAUUUGAAUGUUUUAUAUGUCCGCAAUUUCGGAAAGUUUGUAAUAGAGUUUUCCCAUUCAGUGGAACACAACAUGAAAAGUCUGUCUUUUACAAGAGAAAUAUCACAAGUUUGUUUUUGGUGGAAAUAAUCUUCCAAGUCAAUGUGUGACAAAAUAAGUUUAAUAUCUGAUGACCAAUUGUUCAAACACCGUUCAAGGUCCCAGUUGAAAACCUGUUUACAUACGCGUGAAUCGUCCAUUCGAAUAAGCUUGUUCCAUAGUCUAAUUAUAUUGUACCAGUGUCUUUCUUUACAUGGCAGCCAUCCAACAUCACCAUUUGUAGCAACUUUUGGGGCGAAUUUAUGAACACCUAAGAAAUAACGAAUGGCUUUGUUUUGUACCAAGUUAACACAUGCAUAGUCUUUAAAACCCCAGACAGAUGAGUUAUAGUCUAAAAUCGGUACGACACAUGAGGUAAACAGCUUUUCAAAUGUCUUAAUUCCAAAAUUCUUAAGAUUAUGAAUUUUUGAAAUAAUUCCACCGAGUGCUCGCCCUCCAGCUUCCGACAG